CGGAGAGGAGAUUAACAUCAAGGAGACCACGUUUGCUAUAGAACGGAGGUGGGGUUGGCCGGGGAGUGGGGGGAAUUAAAGGCAACAAUCGGAUAAAUGCUCGUCUGUCCUCCUCGUCACCAGCACCUUGCUCAGUGAAUUGGAAGAUGGAGAUGGAUGUUAAGGGAGUUUCUCAGUGCCCAGAGCCCAUCCCCCACUCGCAGGGGUCUGGAGGCUGUCAGCAGCAGCAGCAGCAGCAGCAACAGCAGGAUGGGCAGGCAGGGGAAAGUGCAACUGCUAGUGACAGUAAUAAUCCAGAGAAGAGGCAAAACAGUGAGAAAGAAGACAAAAAGGGAACUGCACUGAAAUCUUCUGGAUUUCAUUGAGCAUGCUGAAGAACAGUCAAGGCAAAGUCAUGUAAAUGGUUACACCUUUGACAACUUAUUAUACCGAAGUGAAGACGUGUCAAUGAGGAUUGAGAUCUGGAUUAAUUUAAAGCCUUGCAUGUAGGCCAUGAGGAGUAGCAUUUCCUUGAACAGUGCUGAGGAAGUCUCUCUGAAGAUUCCCUCCCACACCUUCUUGAGCUGACCCAUAUCUUAGCUGGGCUCGAAGCCAAAGUUCUUGUCACUGAAGAAUGCUUUGCUAAAACCUCUCACUUCACAGCACCGUGGAGAGGGAGAGAAGUAAGUAUAUGUCAAGCUUGUUGAGAGUGUAACAGAUAAAUCUCUUUUGGGGGUGGGUGGGUGGGUG
Molecule: long non-coding RNA, 729 nt
Filed under: Gopherus agassizii (Agassiz's desert tortoise)
Lineage: Eukaryota; Metazoa; Chordata; Testudines; Testudinidae
Description: lncRNA (ENSGAGG00000021860.1)
Source: RNAcentral